Molecule: ribosomal RNA, 197 nt
Filed under: Helotropha leucostigma
Lineage: Eukaryota; Metazoa; Arthropoda; Insecta; Lepidoptera; Noctuidae
Description: partial large subunit ribosomal RNA
Source: RNAcentral
UUUAUAGUUAAUUUAAUUAAGAUUAUUUAUUAAAAAAAAAUUAAAAUUAAAUUAUUUAUUUUGUUGGGGUGACAGAAAAAUAUAUAUAACUUUUUUUAAAUUUAAACAUUUAUAAGUGAUUAAAUGAUCCAAUAUUAUUGAUUAUAAGAAAAAAUUACCUUAGGGAUGACAGCGUAGAUCGGAGGAGCACACGUCUG